GUGGCAUUGGUGUAGUUGGUGUGCACGCCAGGUUGUGACCCUGGAGGAGCGGGAUCGUGCCCCGCAUGUCACC
Molecule: transfer RNA, 73 nt
Filed under: Actinomadura sp. WMMB 499
Lineage: Bacteria; Bacillati; Actinomycetota; Actinomycetes; Streptosporangiales; Thermomonosporaceae
Also listed under: 1 other name
Description: tRNA-His
Rfam family: tRNA
About the family: Transfer RNA (tRNA) molecules are approximately 80 nucleotides in length. Their secondary structure includes four short double-helical elements and three loops (D, anti-codon, and T loops).
Source: RNAcentral